RNAcentral lists this ribosomal RNA (429 nucleotides) under Capnocytophaga granulosa. RNAcentral's name for it is "bacterial SSU rRNA". It matches the Rfam family "Bacterial small subunit ribosomal RNA", at positions 28 to 461 of the family's 1533-position model. Lineage: Bacteria; Pseudomonadati; Bacteroidota; Flavobacteriia; Flavobacteriales; Flavobacteriaceae. The record is from RNAcentral.
GAUGAACGCUAGCGGCAGGCCUAACACAUGCAAGUCGAGGGAGAAGCCCUUCGGGGCAGAAACCGGCGCACGGGUGCGUAACGCGUAUGCAACCUACCUUUCACAGGGGGAUAGCCCGAAGAAAUUUGGAUUAAUACCCCAUAAUAUUAUUGGAUGGCAUCAUUUGAUAAUUAAAAUUACGAUGGUGAAAGAUGGGCAUGCGUCCUAUUAGCUAGUUGGAGUGGUAACGGCACCCCAAGGCUACGAUAGGUAGGGGUCCUGAGAGGGAGAUCCCCCACACUGGUACUGAGACAGGGACCAGACUCCUACGGGAGGCAGCAGUGAGGAAUAUUGGUCAAUGGUCGGAAGACUGAACCAGCCAUGCCGCGUGCAGGAAGAAUGCCUUAUGGGUUGUAAACUGCUUUUAUAUGGGAAGAAUAAGGAGUACGU